CCGAUCCACCCUCAUAUCUACCGGAGACUGCGCAGGCGACUAGAGCAAGAACAGCAACACCGCCAUUCGCCGCCGCCACAGCUAGCACCUCCCGGCGCCGCAGUUCACCGUCGCCCCAGCACCUCCCGGCGCCGCCAUCCACCGCUUCCCCAGCACCUCCCGUCGCCGCAGUCCUCCGCUGCCCCAGCACCUCCCGACGCCGCAGAUACUUCUGCCGGCGAGAAGCACCUCCGCCCUUCCGUCCCAGCAACUCCCGUCCCAACUAGCUUGAACACCUUCAAGAUGCUUUUCUGGGGAUUGAUUUUUCUGUUUGCUGUUGGGUUUGUAGCCCUGAGCCAAAUGUAUUAGGCUGUUGUGUGUCUUUGAUAGUGCUAUGAUAUUGGGGUUAGUCUUAGUCAUUUUAAUUGUUAACCCAUUUGCGACCGGACAUGCUAAUUUUCAAGAUGCUUAAGUGUCUAGAUCUAUAUGUUACUGUCAAAAUAUGGUCAUGUGUUACCAGGUGAAUCCUUCUUUUGUAGGCUUAAUGAAGAAAUUUUCGCCCUGGGAACAAUUUCUGUCCUUGCAAACCAGAUUAUACAAAUCUCAAAUAAUUUCUGCGGAGAUAUCAAAUGAAAAUGUUGCCAUGGAGAUACAUUGUAGUCUUACUGUAGAUUAUUCUAAAAUUUACAUUUUGGAUUCAUGGAAAUCUAGUAGAUUUUUCUAUCCCUUGGUACUGUCAAAAGCUUGCACCUGUGUUGCCAGGUGCAUCCUUCUUUGUGGGCUUUUAUGAACAAUUUUGUGUAUGAACUUUGUCAAUUGGCUUGCAGCAUCUACAUCAGAUGAACUAGGUAGGUAUUUUACUGACAACUAGACUUCAUCAAAACCUUUGUCUCUAAGGUUUUCUAAUGUGAUUUGCAUUGAACUUAUACUGACGUGAUUAUUUGGAUCUGUGACAAGCAAUGGAUCAUGCAUGCAGUGCCUAGGUAUGUUGAAGUGUCGGGCACCGACCUGAAGAACAUGUUGUGCGACAGGGCUACUCUUAGCUACAGCUUGUUUGAUGUUGCAAUACGACGACUGAACCAACUGGACAAAUUGAUGCAUGCUUUGAAGCAUUUGAUACACUAGCGCCAUAUCUUGGAGUCAGACUUUGCGAUGUUGGUUUUUGCCGGAGAGAAGGUGACAUCAAAUUCUUCAGUUAGGAAACAAUUCAUCGGAGAGGUGGUGUUGCAUAAAAUAGAAACUUGCAGGAUGAUCACAAUCCAUGUCUUGGUUAGGGAAACAUGGUGCGCUUAUUUCUGUGACAUGAAACUGAAGACGGUACAUGUCAUUGACUCAAUGUACAAUCAUGAAGAACAUGGACGUUUCGACGAAAUUCACAGUCUAAGCGUCUGUAGUUUGAAGAUAGCUUUAUUAGAGUGUUUCAAUGAAUUCUUUGAAGGCAGGAAACCAAACAUAGCAAACUUUGGGACAUCAUACAUCAAGCCGCUAGUGCAUAAUGCUGACAAGUAAG
Molecule: long non-coding RNA, 1489 nt
Organism: Lolium perenne
Lineage: Eukaryota; Viridiplantae; Streptophyta; Magnoliopsida; Poales; Poaceae
Source: RefSeq, a predicted model, not a curated record